UUAAGCGACUAAGCGUACACGGUGGAUGCCCUGGCAGUCAGAGGCGAUGAAGGACGUGCUAAUCUGCGAUAAGCGUCGGUAAGGUGAUAUGAACCGUUAUAACCGGCGAUUUCCGAAUGGGGAAACCCAGUGUGUUUCGACACACUAUCAUUAACUGAAUCCAUAGGUUAAUGAGGCGAACCGGGGGAACUGAAACAUCUAAGUACCCCGAGGAAAAGAAAUCAACCGAGAUUCCCCCAGUAGCGGCGAGCGAACGGGGAGCAGCCCAGAGCCUGAAUCAGUGUGUGUGUUAGUGGAAGCGUCUGGAAAGACGCGCGAUACAGGGUGACAGCCCCGUACACAAAAAUGCACAUGCUGUGAGCUCGAUGAGUAGGGCGGGACACGUGGUAUCCUGUCUGAAUAUGGGGGGACCAUCCUCCAAGGCUAAAUACUCCUGACUGACCGAUAGUGAACCAGUACCGUGAGGGAAAGGCGAAAAGAACCCCGGCGAGGGGAGUGAAAAAGAACCUGAAACCGUGUACGUACAAGCAGUGGGAGCACGCUUAGGCGUGUGACUGCGUACCUUUUGUAUAAUGGGUCAGCGACUUAUAUUCUGUAGCAAGGUUAACCGAAUAGGGGAGCCGAAGGGAAACCGAGUCUUAACUGGGCGUUAAGUUGCAGGGUAUAGACCCGAAACCCGGUGAUCUAGCCAUGGGCAGGUUGAAGGUUGGGUAACACUAACUGGAGGACCGAACCGACUAAUGUUGAAAAAUUAGCGGAUGACUUGUGGCUGGGGGUGAAAGGCCAAUCAAACCGGGAGAUAGCUGGUUCUCCCCGAAAGCUAUUUAGGUAGCGCCUCGUGAAUUCAUCUCCGGGGGUAGAGCACUGUUUCGGCAAGGGGGUCAUCCCGACUUACCAACCCGAUGCAAACUGCGAAUACCGGAGAAUGUUAUCACGGGAGACACACGGCGGGUGCUAACGUCCGUCGUGAAGAGGGAAACAACCCAGACCGCCAGCUAAGGUCCCAAAGUCAUGGUUAAGUGGGAAACGAUGUGGGAAGGCCCAGACAGCCAGGAUGUUGGCUUAGAAGCAGCCAUCAUUUAAAGAAAGCGUAAUAGCUCACUGGUCGAGUCGGCCUGCGCGGAAGAUGUAACGGGGCUAAACCAUGCACCGAAGCUGCGGCAGCGACGCUGAUGCGUUGUUGGGUAGGGGAGCGUUCUGUAAGCCUGUGAAGGUGUGCUGUGAGGCAUGCUGGAGGUAUCAGAAGUGCGAAUGCUGACAUAAGUAACGAUAAAGCGGGUGAAAAGCCCGCUCGCCGGAAGACCAAGGGUUCCUGUCCAACGUUAAUCGGGGCAGGGUGAGUCGACCCCUAAGGCGAGGCCGAAAGGCGUAGUCGAUGGGAAACAGGUUAAUAUUCCUGUACUUGGUGUUACUGCGAAGGGGGGACGGAGAAGGCUAUGUUGGCCGGGCGACGGUUGUCCCGGUUUAAGCGUGUAGGCUGGUUUUCCAGGCAAAUCCGGAAAAUCAAGGCUGAGGCGUGAUGACGAGGCACUACGGUGCUGAAGCAACAAAUGCCCUGCUUCCAGGAAAAGCCUCUAAGCAUCAGGUAACAUCAAAUCGUACCCCAAACCGACACAGGUGGUCAGGUAGAGAAUACCAAGGCGCUUGAGAGAACUCGGGUGAAGGAACUAGGCAAAAUGGUGCCGUAACUUCGGGAGAAGGCACGCUGAUAUGUAGGUGAAGUCCCUCGCGGAUGGAGCUGAAAUCAGUCGAAGAUACCAGCUGGCUGCAACUGUUUAUUAAAAACACAGCACUGUGCAAACACGAAAGUGGACGUAUACGGUGUGACGCCUGCCCGGUGCCGGAAGGUUAAUUGAUGGGGUUAGCCGCAAGGCGAAGCUCUUGAUCGAAGCCCCGGUAAACGGCGGCCGUAACUAUAACGGUCCUAAGGUAGCGAAAUUCCUUGUCGGGUAAGUUCCGACCUGCACGAAUGGCGUAAUGAUGGCCAGGCUGUCUCCACCCGAGACUCAGUGAAAUUGAACUCGCUGUGAAGAUGCAGUGUACCCGCGGCAAGACGGAAAGACCCCGUGAACCUUUACUAUAGCUUGACACUGAACAUUGAGCCUUGAUGUGUAGGAUAGGUGGGAGGCUUUGAAGUGUGGACGCCAGUCUGCAUGGAGCCGACCUUGAAAUACCACCCUUUAAUGUUUGAUGUUCUAACGUUGACCCGUAAUCCGGGUUGCGGACAGUGUCUGGUGGGUAGUUUGACUGGGGCGGUCUCCUCCUAAAGAGUAACGGAGGAGCACGAAGGUUGGCUAAUCCUGGUCGGACAUCAGGAGGUUAGUGCAAUGGCAUAAGCCAGCUUGACUGCGAGCGUGACGGCGCGAGCAGGUGCGAAAGCAGGUCAUAGUGAUCCGGUGGUUCUGAAUGGAAGGGCCAUCGCUCAACGGAUAAAAGGUACUCCGGGGAUAACAGGCUGAUACCGCCCAAGAGUUCAUAUCGACGGCGGUGUUUGGCACCUCGAUGUCGGCUCAUCACAUCCUGGGGCUGAAGUAGGUCCCAAGGGCAUGGCUGUUCGCCAUUUAAAGUGGUACGCGAGCUGGGUUUAGAACGUCGUGAGACAGUUCGGUCCCUAUCUGCCGUGGGCGCUGGAGAACUGAGGGGGGCUGCUCCUAGUACGAGAGGACCGGAGUGGACGCAUCACUGGUGUUCGGGUUGUCAUGCCAAUGGCACUGCCCGGUAGCUAAAUGCGGAAGAGAUAAGUGCUGAAAGCAUCUAAGCACGAAACUUGCCCCGAGAUGAGUUCUCCCUGACUCCUUGAGAGUCCUGAAGGAACGUUGAAGACGACGACGUUGAUAGGCCGGGUGUGUAAGCGCAGCGAUGCGUUGAGCUAACCGGUACUAAUGAACCGUGAGGCUUAACCUU
Molecule: ribosomal RNA, 2904 nt
Filed under: Escherichia coli 3-105-05_S1_C3
Lineage: Bacteria; Pseudomonadati; Pseudomonadota; Gammaproteobacteria; Enterobacterales; Enterobacteriaceae
Description: bacterial LSU rRNA
Rfam family: Bacterial large subunit ribosomal RNA
Source: RNAcentral